AACGCUAGCUACAGGCUUAACACAUGCAAGUCGAGGGGCAUCAGGAAGAAAGCUUGCUUUCUUUGCUGGCGACCGGCGCACGGGUGAGUAACACGUAUCCAACCUGCCCUUUACUCGGGGAUAGCCUUUCGAAAGAAAGAUUAAUACCCGAUAGCAUAAUGAUUCCGCAUGGUUUCAUUAUUAAAGGAUUCCGGUAAAGGAUGGGGAUGCGUUCCAUUAGGUUGUUGGUGAGGUAACGGCUCACCAAGCCUUCGAUGGAUAGGGGUUCUGAGAGGAAGGUCCCCCACAUUGGAACUGAGACACGGUCCAAACUCCUACGGGAGGCAGCAGUGAGGAAUAUUGGUCAAUGGGCGCUAGCCUGAACCAGCCAAGUAGCGUGCAGGAUGACGGCCCUAUGGGUUGUAAACUGCUUUUACACGGGGAUAAAGUGGUCGACGUGUCGUCCAUUGCAGGUACCGUGCGAAUAAGGACCGGCUAAUUCCGUGCCAGCAGCCGCGGUAAUACGGAAGGUCCAGGCGUUAUCCGGAUUUAUUGGGUUUAAAGGGAGCGUAGGCCGUCUGUUAAGCGUGUUGUGAAAUGUAGAUGCUCAACAUCUGAAUUGCAGCGCGAACUGACAGACUUGAGUGCGCAGGAAGUAGGCGGAUUCGUGGUGUANCGGUGAAUGCUUAAUAUCACGAAGAACUCCGAUUG
This 690-nucleotide ribosomal RNA is filed under the name uncultured bacterium. Its description in RNAcentral is "bacterial SSU rRNA". It matches the Rfam family "Bacterial small subunit ribosomal RNA", at positions 32 to 715 of the family's 1533-position model. The record is from RNAcentral.